RNAcentral lists this ribosomal RNA (395 nucleotides) under uncultured bacterium. Its description in RNAcentral is "partial 16S ribosomal RNA". It matches the Rfam family "Bacterial small subunit ribosomal RNA", at positions 523 to 918 of the family's 1533-position model. The record is from RNAcentral.
AUACGUAGGGUGCAAGCGUUAAUCGGAAUUACUGGGCGUAAAGCGUGCGCAGGCGGUUUUGUAAGACGGUGGUGAAAUCCCCGGGCUCAACCUGGGAACUGCCAUUGUGACUGCAAGGCUGGAGUGCGGCAGAGGGGGGUGGAAUUCCGCGUGUAGCAGUGAAAUGCGUAGAUAUGCGGAGGAACACCGAUGGCGAAGGCAAUCCCCUGGGCCUGCACUGACGCUCAUGCACGAAAGCGGGGGGAGCAAACAGGAUUAGAUACCCUGGUAGUCCACGCCCUAAACGAUGUCAACUGGUUGUUGGGGAUUUAUUUUCUCAGUAACGAAGCUAACGCGUGAAGUUGACCGCCUGGGGAGUACGGCCGCAAGGUUAAAACUCAAAUGAAUUGACGGGG